GAUGAACGCUGGCGGCGUGCCUAAUACAUGCAAGUCGAGCGAACGGACGAGAAGCUUGCUUCUCUGAUGUUAGCGGCGGACGGGUGAGUAACACGUGGAUAACCUACCUAUAAGACUGGGAUAACUUCGGGAAACCGGAGCUAAUACCGGAUAAUAUUUUGAACCGCAUGGUUCAAAAGUGAAAGACGGUCUUGCUGUCACUUAUAGAUGGAUCCGCGCUGCAUUAGCUAGUUGGUAAGGUAACGGCUUACCAAGGCAACGAUGCAUAGCCGACCUGAGAGGGUGAUCGGCCACACUGGAACUGAGACACGGUCCAGACUCCUACGGGAGGCAGCAGUAGGGAAUCUUCCGCAAUGGGCGAAAGCCUGACGGAGCAACGCCGCGUGAGUGAUGAAGGUCUUCGGAUCGUAAAACUCUGUUAUUAGGGAAGAACAUAUGUGUAAGUAACUGUGCACAUCUUGACGGUACCUAAUCAGAAAGCCACGGCUAACUACGUGCCAGCAGCCGCGGUAAUACGUAGGUGGCAAGCGUUAUCCGGAAUUAUUGGGCGUAAAGCGCGCGUAGGCGGUUUUUUAAGUCUGAUGUGAAAGCCCACGGCUCAACCGUGGAGGGUCAUUGGAAACUGGAAAACUUGAGUGCAGAAGAGGAAAGUGGAAUUCCAUGUGUAGCGGUGAAAUGCGAAGAGAUAUGGAGGAACACCAGUGGCGAAGGCGACUUUCUGGUCUGUAACUGACGCUGAUGUGCGAAAGCGUGGGGAUCAAACAGGAUUAGAUACCCUGGUAGUCCACGCCGUAAACGAUGAGUGCUAAGUGUUAGGGGGUUUCCGCCCCUUAGUGCUGCAGCUAACGCAUUAAGCACUCCGCCUGGGGAGUACGACCGCAAGGUUGAAACUCAAAGGAAUUGACGGGGACCCGCACAAGCGGUGGAGCAUGUGGUUUAAUUCGAAGCAACGCGAAGAACCUUACCAAAUCUUGACAUCCUUUGACAACUCUAGAGAUAGAGCCUUCCCCUUCGGGGGGGCAAAGUGACAGGUGGUGCAUGGUUGUCGUCAGCUCGUGUCGUGAGAUGUUGGGUUAAGUCCCGCAACGAGCGCAACCCUUAAGCUUAGUUGCCAUCAUUAAGUUGGGCACUCUAAGUUGACUGCCGGUGACAAACCGGAGGAAGGUGGGGAUGACGUCAAAUCAUCAUGCCCCUUAUGAUUUGGGCUACACACGUGCUACAAUGGACAAUACAAAGGGCAGCGAAACCGCGAGGUCAAGCAAAUCCCAUAAAGUUGUUCUCAGUUCGGAUUGUAGUCUGCAACUCGACUACAUGAAGCUGGAAUCGCUAGUAAUCGUAGAUCAGCAUGCUACGGUGAAUACGUUCCCGGGUCU
RNAcentral lists this ribosomal RNA (1373 nucleotides) under uncultured bacterium. Its description in RNAcentral is "bacterial SSU rRNA". It matches the Rfam family "Bacterial small subunit ribosomal RNA", at positions 28 to 1381 of the family's 1533-position model. The record is from RNAcentral.